This 439-nucleotide ribosomal RNA is filed under the name uncultured Arcanobacterium sp. Its description in RNAcentral is "partial 16S ribosomal RNA". It matches the Rfam family "Bacterial small subunit ribosomal RNA", at positions 341 to 792 of the family's 1533-position model. Lineage: Bacteria; Bacillati; Actinomycetota; Actinomycetes; Actinomycetales; Actinomycetaceae. The record is from RNAcentral.
ACGGGAGGCAGCAGUGGGGAAUAUUGCACAAUGGACGCAAGUCUGAUGCAGUGACGCCGCGUGGGGGAUGACGGCUUUCGGGUUGUAAACUCCUUUUACUACUGAAGAAGCGAGAGUGACGGUAGGUGGUGAAUAAGCGCCGGCUAACUACGUGCCAGCAGCCGCGGUAAUACGUAGGGCGCGAGCGUUGUCCGGAUUUAUUGGGCGUAAAGAGCUCGUAGGCGGUUUGUUGCGUCUGCUGUGAAAGUCCGGGGCUUAACUCCGGGAUUGCAGUGGGUACGGGCAGGCUAGAGUGCGGUAGGGGUAACUGGAAUUCCUGGUGUAGCGGUGGAAUGCGCAGAUAUCAGGAGGAACACCGAUGGCGAAGGCAGGUUACUGGGCCGUGACUGACGCUGAGGAGCGAAAGCAUGGGGAGCGAACAGGAUUAGAUACCCUGGUA